UGCUAGUCGUGCGCUUCAGCCAAAACGAGGCGCGGCAUACAGCUCAGUAACACGUGGCUAAUCUGCCCUUGGGACGAGAACAACCCCGGGAAACUGGGGCUAAUUCUCGAUAGGUGAAGAACUCUGGAAUGAGUCUUCGCUUAAAAAGCUUCACGUUAUGCUCGUGAAGUCGCCCAAGGAUGAGGCCGCGACCGAUCAGGUUGUUGGUGAGGUAAUGGCUCACCAAGCCUUUUACCGGUGCGGGCCGUGAGAGCGGGAGCCCGGAGAUGGGCACUGAGACAAGGGCCCAGGCCCUACGGGGCGCAGCAGUCGCGAAAACUUUGCAAUACACGAAAGUGUGACAGGGCUAUCCCGAGUGCCAUCCGCUGAGGAAGGCUUUUACCCAGUAUAGAUCGCUGGGGGAAUAAGGAGAGGGCAAGUCUGGUGUCAGCCGCCGCGGUAAUACCAGCUCUCCGAGUGGUGUGGAUGUUUAUUGGGCCUAAAGCAUCCGUAGCUGGCUAAGUUAGUCCCUUGUUAAAUCCACCGAAUUAAUCGUUGGAUUGCGGGGGAUACUGCUUGGCUAGGGGACGAGAGAGGCAGACGGUAUUUCCGGGGUAGGGGUGAAAUCCUAUAAUCCCGGGAAGACCACCAGUGGCGGAGGCUGUCUGCUAGAACGCGCCCGACGGUGAGGGAUGAAAGCUGGGGGAGCGAACCGGAUUAGAUACCGGGUAGUCCCAGCUGUAAACGAUGCAGGCUAGGUGUUUGGACGGCCACGUGCCGUUCUAGUGCCGCAGGGAAGCUGUUAAGCCUGCCGCCUGGGGAGUACGAUCGCAAGAUUGAAACUUAA
This 826-nucleotide ribosomal RNA is filed under the name uncultured crenarchaeote. RNAcentral describes it as "bacterial SSU rRNA". It matches the Rfam family "Archaeal small subunit ribosomal RNA", at positions 52 to 859 of the family's 1478-position model. Lineage: Archaea; Thermoproteati; Thermoproteota. The record is from RNAcentral.